RNAcentral lists this non-coding RNA (32 nucleotides) under Mus musculus (house mouse). Lineage: Eukaryota; Metazoa; Chordata; Mammalia; Rodentia; Muridae. The record is from RNAcentral.
UACCAGCACACAUAAUGUUGCUACUACCAAUC